Non-coding RNA from Pogona vitticeps (central bearded dragon), 704 nucleotides. NCBI's taxonomy places the organism in Eukaryota, Metazoa, Chordata, Lepidosauria, Squamata, Agamidae. The record is from RefSeq and is a predicted model, not a curated record.
UUCUACCUUCUUUACAGUCCUCAGACACUUUUGGCUGGCAUGAAUAAGUUUUUGUCACAGCUUGAAAUUACUUUCAGAAGAGAUCCAAACAAUUACAGACCAAGAAUAAACAAGCUCAAUUCAAUCAAGGAUGUGGAACAAAAGAAAAGUGGAAAUUACUUUUUCUUGGAUGACUAAAUGAAGAACUGAUUAUCAGUUGAGACAGUGACAUCUUUGUAAUAUGAAAAGCAAUCACGUUUUAAAAUGCCACACUCAUUCCAGAGGUUGAAUAGAAUGUUACUGUUAUGUAACCUAUACUGCCCUAUAGCAGUGUCAGUACCACUUUUUGUGCCUGCCAAGGCCCUGUUUUGGAUGUAAUAUUUCCAAGCAGAAACAGCUGGCUUUCCAUACCAAGAGACUAUGUGAUUUUUCACAGUGGAAAGAUUUUGGUUGAAAUAUAACUUAUUAAUGUACCAAAUGCUGUUUCCAGUUUUAUGUCUUUCAGCUGUUUUCUGUAUGAAAUGGUUUACAAAAAUGUCAAGACAUAGAAAUUACUAUUUUAAAGAAAUUUGAGCUCCAUGCAAAUAGGGGUUUCAUAAAUAAAUCUCCCUCUAAAUCUAUAACUUUUCUUUGUAUUUUGAUUAAUCAGAUUAUUAAAGUUGAAGCAUAACUCAGUCUUGUCUUGAGGAGCAAGAUUAUGGCUUAUGUUCUUUUCCGUUUCAGUA